RNAcentral lists this ribosomal RNA (567 nucleotides) under uncultured Bacteroidota bacterium. Its description in RNAcentral is "bacterial SSU rRNA". It matches the Rfam family "Bacterial small subunit ribosomal RNA", at positions 10 to 568 of the family's 1533-position model. The record is from RNAcentral. Lineage: Bacteria; Pseudomonadati; Bacteroidota.
AGUUUGAUCCUGGCUCAGGAUGAACGCUAGCGGCAGGCUUAAUACAUGCAAGUCGAGGGGCAGCAGGAGUGUAGCAAUACACUUGCUGGCGACCGGCAAACGGGUGCGGAACACGUACGCAACUUACCCAUAACUGGGGGAUAGCCCGGGGAAACCCGGAUUAAUACCUCGUAACACCAUGAAGUGGCAUCGCUUUAUGGUUAUAGCUCCGGCGGUUAUGGAUGGGCGUGCGCCUGAUUAGGUAGUUGGCGGGGUAACGGCCCACCAAGCCUGCGAUCAGUAACUGGUGUGAGAGCACGACCAGUCACACGGGCACUGAGACACGGGCCCGACUCCUACGGGAGGCAGCAGUAAGGAAUAUUGGUCAAUGGACGCAAGUCUGAACCAGCCAUGCCGCGUGAAGGAUGAAGGUCCUCUGGAUUGUAAACUUCUUUUAUAUGGGACGAAACCCGGGCAUUCCUGCCCGAUUGACGGUACCAUAGGAAUAAGCACCGGCUAACUCCGUGCCAGCAGCCGCGGUAAUACGGAGGGUGCAAGCGUUAUCCGGAUUCACUGGGUUUAAAGGGU